AUAGCGUAUAUUUAAGUUGUUGCAGUUAAAAAGCUCGUAGUUGGAUUUCGGGUGGGUUGUAGCGGUCAGCCUUUGGUUAGUACUGCUACGGCCUACCUUUCUGCCGGGGACGAGCUCCUGGGCUUAACUGUCCGGGACUCGGAAUCGGCGAGGUUACUUUGAGUAAAUUAGAGUGUUCAAAGCAAGCCUACGCUCCUGAAUACAUUAGCAUGGAAUAACACGAUAGGACUCUGGCUUAUCUUGUUGGUCUGUAAGACCGGAGUAAUGAUUAAGAGGGACAGUCGGGGGCAUUCGUAUUUCAUUGUCAGAGGUGAAAUUCUUGGAUUUUUGAAAAGACGAACUUCUGCGAAAGCAUUUGCCAAGGAUGUUUUCAUUAAUCAAGAACGAAAGUUGGGGGCUCGAAGACGAUUAGAUACCGUCGUAGUCUCAACCAUAAACGAUGCCGACUAGGGAUUGGCAGGUGUUUCGUUGAUGACCCUGCCAGCACCUUAUGAGAAAUCAAAGUUUUUGGGUUCCGGGGGGAGUAUGGUCA
This 532-nucleotide ribosomal RNA is filed under the name Dunaliella salina. RNAcentral describes it as "SSU rRNA". It matches the Rfam family "Eukaryotic small subunit ribosomal RNA", at positions 594 to 1131 of the family's 1831-position model. Lineage: Eukaryota; Viridiplantae; Chlorophyta; Chlorophyceae; Chlamydomonadales; Dunaliellaceae. The record is from RNAcentral.